Molecule: ribosomal RNA, 1993 nt
Filed under: Polylabris sp. JYW-2010
Lineage: Eukaryota; Metazoa; Platyhelminthes; Monogenea; Mazocraeidea; Microcotylidae
Description: SSU rRNA
Rfam family: Eukaryotic small subunit ribosomal RNA
Source: RNAcentral
AACCUGGUUGAUCCUGCCAGUAGUCAUAUGCUUGUCUCAAAGAUUAAGCCAUGCAUGCCUAAGUAUAUGCUCUCGAAAAGUGAAACCACGAAUGGCUCAUUAAAUCAGCUAUUGUUUAUUAGAUGCUAACCGUUACUUGGAUAACUGUAGUAAUUCUAGAGCUAAUACAUGCCUCGAAUCCGUGACCCGCGAGGGGAUCGGUGCACUUAUCAGUACAAGACCAACCGGGCGUCCUUCGGGAUGCCCGAUCAUGUCGUGUUGACUCUGGAUAAUUUCUACAGAUCGCAGUCGGCCUUGUGUCGGCGACAGUUCUUUCAAAUGUCUGCCCUAUCAACUUACGAUGGUAGGUAACUUGCCUACCAUGGUGAUAACGGGUAACGGGGAAUCAGGGUUCGAUUCCGGAGAGGGAGCCUGAGAAACGGCUACCACAUCCAAGGAAGGCAGCAGGCGCGCAAAUUACCCACUCCCGGCACGGGGAGGUAGUGACGAAAAAUAACGAUGCGGAACUCUAUGAGGAUCCGUAAUCGGAAUGAGUACAGUCUAAAUCCUUUAACGAGGAUCAAUUGGAGGGCAAGUCUGGUGCCAGCAGCCGCGGUAACUCCAGCUCCAAUAGCGUAUAUUAAAAUUGCUGCAGUUAAAAAGCUCGUAGUUGGAUCUUGACGGUACUGCAACGGGUCGAGUUUUGUUCGCUUCUAUAGAUAGAUUCCAUCUUUCUUUGGAGUAGCAUGCUUUGUCCCGUCUGCGGUGCAGUCUUUCAGCCGUGUCUGUUCCCCUCGGGGUUCAGGUGCUACUUAGCAGGAGGGCUUGUCUCUACUGCUGGGCGGUACGCACUACGAUCCACUUUAUUGCGUGUCGUGGUGCGGGCGGCAUGUUUACUUUGAACAAAUUUGAGUGCUCAAAGCAGGCCAAUGUGUCUGAAAAGUCUUGCAUGGAAUAAUGGAAUAGGACUUCAGUUCUAUUUUGUUGGUUUUCGGAUCUGAAGUAAUGGUUAAGAGAGACAGACGGGGGCAUUUGUAUGGCGGUGUUAGAGGUGAAAUUCUUGGAUCGCCGCCAGACAGCUGAAGCGAAAGCAUUUGCCAGGAAUGUUUUCAUUGACAAAGAGCGAAAGUCAGAGGUUCGAAGACGAUCAGAUACCGUCCUAGUUCUGACCAUAAACGAUGCCGACUGACGAUCCGUGGGGUAAAAUUCUUUUGUCCCCACGGGCAGUCUCCGGGAAACCUUUAAGUCUUUGGGUUCCGGGGGAAGUAUGGUUGCAAAGCUGAAACUUAAAGGAAUUGACGGAAGGGCACCACCAGGAGUGGAGCCUGCGGCUUAAUUUGACUCAACACGGGAAAACUCACCCGGCCCGGACACUGUGAGGAUUGACAGAUUGACAGCUCUUUCAUGAUUCAGUGGUUGGUGGUGCAUGGCCGUUCUUAGUUGGUGGAGCGAUUUGUCUGGUUAAUUCCGAUAACGAACGAGACUCUAUUCUGCUAAAUAGUACUCCCGUAAUUGGUGGGACUGCUCUGGUCGGGUUUUACUGCAUUCUUGUGGAAGAUCCCGGUUUAGGCGUUCUACUGCGCGGGUGAAACUUCUUAGAGAGACAAGUUGCGCUAGUAAUACGAAAUUGAGCAAUAACAGGUCUGUGAUGCCCUUAGAUGUCCGGGGCCGCACGCGCGCUACAAUGACGGUACCAGCGAGUAUGACCUCCUAGCCCGAGAGGGCUGGGCAAACUGGUCCAUGACCGUCGUGACAGGGAUCGGGGUUUGUAAUUAUCCCCCGUGAACGAGGAAUUCCCAGUAAGUGCAAGUCAUAAGCUUGUGCUGAUUACGUCCCUGCCCUUUGUACACACCGCCCGUCGCUACUACCGAUUGAAUGGUUUGGCAAGGCCUUCGGAUUGGCACCAUUGUAACACUUUGUGUUCCACAGGUGCUGAGAAGAGGACCAAACUUGAUCAUUUAGAGGAAGUAAAAGUCGUAACAAGGUUUCCGUAGGUGAACCUGCAGAAGGAUCA